UUCAUUUAAUUCUGGUGCUUCCCUUCUAUUGUUUGUUCACGUUUUGAUUAACGUCUUAGUAAAUUUCAUUCCGUGUGUUGUAAGUCAUUAGUUUUACGUCGCUGAAAGUCUUCAUCAUUCAAGUAAACGGUAUGUGAUAUAUUUCAAGGAAAACAAUGUUCUAUCAACGAGGCCAUGCUGUUUGUGUUACGUAGCAAAUGUCUUUCCAAGAAUCAGAGUUACUUUCAUUUAUUCUCAUUUAUUGUAACAGAGGUGACUGCUGUUUAUUGCCAUUCCUCUAUUGAUAUUUGCACUCGCACCAUUUGGCUUGCCAUAGUGUUUGACGUCUUUUGUUGGGUAAGUGGGUUUAGAUGAUGAUGAUGAAGUCACUUGCUGAUUCUCCUCAAUCAGCAAUGAACCAAGUCGCAAGGAAAACAUCAUCUAGUGAACCAGUUAAGCCCUUGAUGGCUCUUCUCUCUCCUUGAAUGAAUUUAUUUGAUCUCCGUCCACGUCUUUUUUCCCAUCUAAAACAAAUCCUUGUUUGAAAUGGACACUAACGUCUUGUGAAAAUAGUCCUGGUUUUAGAAUUUUGCUGGAGUCAUACACGUCCCACUCGAAUCUUGCUGUUUUGGACGAUCCAGUUUGUGUCAAGGUGUCGCUUGUAAUUAUUUCACAUCUACUGCGAAAUCGAAAUGUGGAUGGCUAAAGAAAUCGGCUCAGACGUAUUCUCUCAUCCUGGAACUUCACCGGAUGUCAAAACCGUCGUACCAUAACUUGUUCUGCAGACACCGAGACCUUUGAGACAGAAGUCAAAGAAUUAGACUGCGGAUGUGAUACAACUCGAUUAGCAAUCACAGGGACGAGACGUACGACUAACCAUAAUCAGAAGGCGACAACAGGAUCGCGCAUUAGUCAAGGACAAUGUCAACCUCCGGUGUGGAUGUAACAAGUCGGAUACAUUCGAAGUGGAGCUAGCUUGCCUUGAUCAAAGAAAAUUUCAGUCAACUUUGGUAAACAUUCCAUUGACUGAUGCACUAAGGAUGCUCUUGUGUGUACUGUUCCAUGUUUAUAAGAAUUGGACUGGAAAAAGCUGAUGCACUUUUGAGCUUCUUUAAUUAUCAUCAUCAGCCUCUGUGGCCUAAUGGAUAAGGCACCGGCCUCCUAAGCCGGGGAUUGCGAGUUCGAGUCUCGCCAGAGGUAUCUGUUCUGGAUGAUAAUACCGGGUAAAAGCAGCGUAACGAGCAACGUAAGUCAAUUGCAGAAGAAAACAAAAACUCAAAGCACAAAUGCUGGAACCAAAUUCAUUUAUUGUAUCAGUAUGAGAUGAACCCAAACUUCAAGCAUCACCCAAGUAUAGCGCACCUCUAGCACUGGAAACAACUCAUUAAAGGACAAAACCUUCCUGUAAACGAAGUUGACUCACCGUCUCACCGAAAAACUUUCAACAAUCCUCAACACUCUCUGCCAUCAUCACAAGACGAACCAACCACAAGAAAGUGGUUACACCUCGGCCGUCCGGUCUACUCGUGUGGUUGCAUCCCACUGCGCUUGGACGGAAGCCGGUGCCGCAUUUCUGCAAGCGGGUAGGAACUCUCCACAGUCAUUUUAGGUCUGAGCUCCGAAAUCGGCCAAGUCAGGCACUCAGAAACCGCAGAGGGAUCGUGGUGAGUACGUUGAGCGAUUAUCAGCGAAGAUGUUCAGGAAAGAGACUCGUGAAAAACUUUAAAAGACGGAGAAAGAUAAAUCUGAAGAAAAACAGGCGACAAGUUUGGUAUCUCUUUAAGAGAUUUGAUCAUUUCUGAGACGUGAACGGGAUUUUUAAAUAAAAAGAAAUACAGAGGUAAGUUGGAAAUUCAGGUAAAGUAUCCGUGGUUUGAUUUCGUCCAUACUGUGGUGGAUGCAGGACAAAUUUGCUGUUGAUCAAAUACGUGCAACUUAAUUACAAUCAAUAUGUUGUGAAUCCUCUAUUGCUUACACACUUAUUUCCUGAGCAAGGCAUUACAAGUUCCAGUCUCACGAAAGAUAUAAUGAUUGCAGCCAACAGUACAAAUAAUAGGAAAAACAAAUUUAGUCUACCUACGGAUACGUUUUGGUUAACUUACCGUUCAAGUUCGGAAAGAGCGUUUAAUCAUUGUUGCCUUAACCUUGUCCACGAGCUGCUACGUUCAGGAUUUUCACGAUUCCGUCCAGGUUGCAUAUUCCAUGACGUCCGCGUAAUAUAGAUCGUGCAUCGUGGCCAUUGCAUUUGACGCGUAUUCCCUUUUGGAUUAGGAUCCGAAUGACGUCGAUCAAGUUCGAGCUUGAAUUAUUUCGGCAAAGAUAAUGGAGCGCAUUCGAUCCAUUGUUGGUCUUCGUGUUCACAUUGAUCCCAUGUUGAAUUAAGAUCUUAACUGCGUCGGUUAAGGUUGAGCUUAAAUUGUGUCGACACAAAAAAUGGAGCGCAUUCCACCCUUUGUUGUCGUUGGCGUUUACGUCGAUUCCGUUUUUGAUUAAGAUUUCAAUUGCUGUGAUCAAGUCUGAGCUUGAAUGAAAACGACAUAGAAAAUGAAGCGCAUUCCAUCCAUCCAUGUCUGUUGCGUUCACGUCGAUUCCGGAUUGGAUCAAGAGUUCGAUUGCGCCGAUCAAGUUUGAACUUGAAUUGUUUUCACAUAAAAAAUGGAGCGCACUCCAUCCGUCCUUUUCCUUUGCGUUAACGUCGAUUCCGGCUUCGACCAACAGUUUCAUAGCGUCGAUUAGGUUGGAACUUGAAUUGUAUUCGCACAAAUAAUGCAUCGCGUUCCUUUCUUCUUCUCCAUUUGCAUUCACGUCGAUUCCGAGGUGAAUUAAGUCUUUGAUGUUUUUGAUUAAAGCAGGCGAAAAUUCAGUAGCACAUAAUUGACGCAAUUCUGCUUCUUUUUCAGCAACCUAAGAAUAAAUAGACAGUUAUUCAGGUGAUUGCUCGAAUUGCAUAAAACUUGCAUACCACGUUGUUUAUGGGUUUUAGUUGAACGACGACUUCUGUCAGUGUAGUUCUCCUAUUAUGGUCAUCUUUCAACAUUUUUCCGGGUAGAUCUUCCGUGCGUAGUUCACCGUCCAUUUCUACAAUAAAAGAUUUUAGUAAUAGUUAAGAGAAUACAAAGUUAUUGUAAUAAAUUAAAGUUACUCUGCA
This 3127-nucleotide transfer RNA is filed under the name Daphnia magna. RNAcentral's name for it is "uncharacterized LOC123471001". The stretch from base 1107 to 1179 matches the Rfam family "tRNA". Lineage: Eukaryota; Metazoa; Arthropoda; Branchiopoda; Diplostraca; Daphniidae. The record is from RNAcentral.